CCUACGGGAGGCAGCAGUGAGGAAUAUUGGUCAAUGGGCGUAAGCCUGAACCAGCCAAGUCGCGUGAGGGAUGAAGGUUCUAUGGAUCGUAAACCUCUUUUAUAAGGGAAUAAAGUGCGGGACGUGUCCCGUUUUGUAUGUACCUUAUGAAUAAGGAUCGGCGGACUCUGUGUCAGCAGCCGCGGUGAUACGGAGGAUCCGAGCGUUAUCCGGAUUUAUUGGGUUUAAUGGGUGCGUAGGCGGCGUUUUAAGUCAGGGGUUGAAGUCUGUGGCUCAACCAUAGAAUUGCCGUUGAAACUGGGAGGCUUGAGUGUAGUAGAGGAGGGUGGAAUGCGUGGUGUAGCGGUGAAAGGCUGAGAUAGCAGGAGGAACACC
Molecule: ribosomal RNA, 375 nt
Filed under: uncultured bacterium
Lineage: Bacteria
Description: partial 16S ribosomal RNA
Rfam family: Bacterial small subunit ribosomal RNA
Source: RNAcentral